This 253-nucleotide ribosomal RNA is filed under the name uncultured bacterium. Its description in RNAcentral is "partial 16S ribosomal RNA". It matches the Rfam family "Bacterial small subunit ribosomal RNA", at positions 524 to 776 of the family's 1533-position model. The record is from RNAcentral.
UACGUAGGUGGCAAGCGUUGUCCGGAAUCACUGGGCGUAAAGCGCGCGCAGGCGGCGAUCUACGUCUGGGGUGAAAGCCCGGAGCUCAACUCCGGGACUGCCUUGGAUACGGGAUCGCUUGAGGGUUGGAGAGGCAAGGGGAAUUCCACGUGUAGCGGUGAAAUUCGUAGAUAUCAGGAGGAACACCGGUGGCGAAGGCGGCUUUCUGGACACUUACUGACGCUGAGACGCGAAAGCGUGGGGAGCAAACAGG